RNAcentral lists this ribosomal RNA (496 nucleotides) under uncultured bacterium. Its description in RNAcentral is "partial 16S ribosomal RNA". It matches the Rfam family "Bacterial small subunit ribosomal RNA", at positions 28 to 506 of the family's 1533-position model. The record is from RNAcentral.
GACGAACGCUGGCGGCGUGCCUAAUACAUGCAAGUUGAGCGCUGAAGGUUGGUACUUGUACCAACUGGAUGAGCAGCGAACGGGUGAGUAACGCGUGGGGAAUCUGCCUUUGAGCGGGGGACAACAUUUGGAAACGAAUGCUAAUACCGCAUAAAAACUUUAAACACAAGUUUUAAGUUUGAAAGAUGCAAUUGCAUCACUCAAAGAUGAUCCCGCGUUGUAUUAGCUAGUUGGUGAGGUAAAGGCUCACCAAGGCGAUGAUACGUAGCCGACCUGAGAGGGUGAUCGGCCACAUUGGGACUGAGACACGGCCCAAACUCCUACGGGAGGCAGCAGUAGGGAAUCUUCGGCAAUGGACGAAAGUCUGACCGAGCAACGCCGCGUGAGUGAAGAAGGUUUUCGGAUCGUAAAACUCUGUUGGUAGAGAAGAACGUUGGUGAGAGUGGAAAGCUCAUCAAGUGACGGUAACUACCCAGAAAGGGACGGCUAACUACGU